Molecule: ribosomal RNA, 653 nt
Filed under: uncultured Bacteroidota bacterium
Lineage: Bacteria; Pseudomonadati; Bacteroidota
Description: bacterial SSU rRNA
Rfam family: Bacterial small subunit ribosomal RNA
Source: RNAcentral
GAGUUUGAUCAUGGCUCAGGAUGAACGCUAGCGGGAGGCUUAACACAUGCAAGUCGAGGGGUAACAUGAGGUAGCAAUACUUUGAUGACGACCGGCGCACGGGUGAGUAACACGUAUGCAACCUACCCUGUACAGGGGGAUAGCCCGGAGAAAUUCGGAUUAAUACCCCAUAAAGAUAUUUAGAGGCAUCUUUAAAUAUUUAAAGCUUCGGCGGUACGGGAUGGGCAUGCGCAACAUUAGCUAGUUGGUAGGGUAACGGCCUACCAAGGCUACGAUGUUUAGGGGACCUGAGAGGGUGAUCCCCCACACUGGUACUGAGACACGGACCAGACUCCUACGGGAGGCAGCAGUGAGGAAUAUUGGUCAAUGGGCGUAAGCCUGAACCAGCCAUCCCGCGUGAAGGAAGAAGGCGCUAUGCGUUGUAAACUUCUUUUCCAGGGGAAGAAAACCCGCUACGUGUAGCGGCUUGCCGGUACCCUGGGAAUAAGCAUCGGCUAACUCCGUGCCAGCAGCCGCGGUAAUACGGAGGAUGCGAGCGUUAUCCGGAUUUAUUGGGUUUAAAGGGUGCGUAGGCGGAUUAAUAAGUCAGUGGUGAAAACCUGCAGCUUAACUGUAGAAUUGCCAUUGAUACUGUUAGUCUUGAGUACGGUCAA